CGAAGGGUGCAAACGUUGCUCGGAAUUAUUGGGCGUAAAGCGCACGUAGGCGGCUUAGCAAGUCGGAAGUGAAAUCCCACGGCUCAACCAUGGAAGUGCUUUCGAAACUGCUGAGCUUGAGUACAAAAGAGGAUCGCGGAAUUCCCGGUGUAGAGGUGAAAUUCGUAGAUAUCGGGAGGAACACCAGUGGCGAAGGCGGCGAUCUGGGUUGAUACUGACGCUGAGGUGCGAAAGCGUGAGGAGCAAACAGGAUUAGAUACCCUGGUAGUCCACGCCGUAAACGAUGAGUGCUAGGUGCUGUGGGUAUUGACCCCCGCGGUGCCGCAGCCAACGCGUUAAGCACUCCGCCUGGGGAGUACGGCCGCAAGGCUA
RNAcentral lists this ribosomal RNA (372 nucleotides) under uncultured organism. RNAcentral's name for it is "bacterial SSU rRNA". It matches the Rfam family "Bacterial small subunit ribosomal RNA", at positions 526 to 896 of the family's 1533-position model. The record is from RNAcentral.